Molecule: long non-coding RNA, 2773 nt
Organism: Bombyx mori (domestic silkworm)
Lineage: Eukaryota; Metazoa; Arthropoda; Insecta; Lepidoptera; Bombycidae
Exons: 2
Source: RefSeq, a predicted model, not a curated record
GUCAUUUUAGACAUGUCCUUUCAGAUCAUCUCUAUCCACUGCUCUUACUAGAACAUAGACGUUAGAAACUUCUGUAGGAAGUAGCAAUGUGCAAACAUAUGUGAUAAAUUAUAGCUAUGGAGAAACAGCAUUUUUUUUCUUAGCUUAGGUAUGUGAAGGGUAUUUGGUACUUUUGAACUUUUUUCUUGGAGGCCCGGAUCUCUGAGGCCUAGGCGUAAAUUCAUCACCGUUAAUGAGUCCUCAUGAUGUGUUGUCUCUAUGUUGCUGACGAGGUUAAGCCCGUGAGCUCACCUACCGGUCCACGUGAAGUUGGGAUAGUCCCUUACGCUACCAACGAUUAGGCAGGGAAAGAAAAAAAAAACACAAUUUAAAACUAUUUACAUGCUAUUUACCUCCAAUCACCAGACACUUCAGUACCAGAGUGUCGCCUUCGUGGUAAGUGCCGACUGUGCGCUCUACUUUAUUGUCAAGCUCGUCCAUGAAAAACGGAGGACUUGGCAGUACUGUGAACCAAAGAACAAGUUUUAAGGAACUAUAUUUUAUCGCAGAAAUAACAAUAAAAUGCAAAUCAUAGAACCAAAGGAUUAUAAUUUGCGUAAUUACUGGUGGUAGCACGUCUUGUGAGUCUGCCUACUUCAAAUGAUGUUUGUGAGGAGUCUGCAGUGGUUUGGCUUUUGCUAAGGUCAGUGGCAAUUCAAACAGUAGCCAUUCAAGACCAAAUUAGCCGUCUGGUAUCGCUGGCGAUAAAUGUUUGAUGAUUCUCAAUCCUUUUUGUUAAGUUCUUUAAGCCAGUCGAUCUUAAACAUUUUUCUGUGUUUACACUUAUCGACUAGAAAUGGAAACAUCUAACAGGUCUUCAUUAAUAUUUAUGUAUUUGAAGAACCCUUAGAUCUGUAACAAUGCUUUGAUUUAAGAGUGCGUUCUAUCAACAAUUACAAAGUAAACUGGACUAAUGUAAUUGACAUUUGUGCAUCGAGCAUGAUUAAAGCGAUUUAAGAUGUUUACGGUACGAUUUAAAGUUACGGAAUGUUUUAAAAUAAACACGCCGUCACCAUGAUGGAUGCGGUGUGGGCACAAAGUGUAGGGUGACCAUAUUAGGUUUUUCUCGUUGGAAUUAAAUGUUUUCAUUUCUAUUUUAAAUCAUAUUGCAAAAGUUUGCAAGUGUUUGUUUCACGCAAAAACUAUUCGAUGAGUUUUGAUCAAUUUUCUAAUUUUAAUAUUGUAUACGUCAAAUUAGCAUACAGAGUAUAAUCUAGUACGAUCAACAAAUUACAGAUGGCGCGCGACGUUAAAAAAAAUGUAUGUUUUAUAAACACUUAAGUCAAGGUGAGAGCGGAAUCUGACUGGUUUCACUAGUCUGAUCAAUAAAAAUAACCAUAAAUAUGUAAGAGAGGUGAUUUUUUAUUAUUAUUCAUAAUUAGUGAAAUAAAAAAUUGCCGAUAGAUGUUACAUGACAGAGGAAUGCGAGAUUGGCUGUAUUUUGACUAUAACUAUUUCUUUUCAAUUAUAAGCUACUAGGCUUUAUGACUCAUUAUUUUUCUAGGUAAUUCUCCCUCUUAUUCCUUUCUCGAGUUCAGUAAGUCACACACAGAAAAAUCAUUCAGAUAUCUGAUAUAACAUGACACUAUACCUGCACAAUACCUAUAUAGGUAUAGUAUCAUGUUUUUAAGCGUGUGCACGCUUCGACGAGGUCAGUGACCUGUUUCUAAUAAAAUAAUACUAAAUGUUCAUUUAAUUGAUUUUCUUUUAGGAAUGAAGGUUCAACCCCUUGUGAAAUGUGACUAAAGCUGAACACCUAGUUCAACUUUGGUCACUUUUUAUGCUUUGUAUGAAUUAUAUUUCUAUAUUAAUAUGGUCACAUGAACUAUGUAUAUUAUUAUUGGUAAAUUAUUGGUUGUAUAAUAUUUACUUCAACUUAAUUCCGUCUGCAUAAUUCGCAAAGUGACCGUGAAAAGAAACAUAUUUCACUCAGUGUAACCUUUUAGAAAUAUCAUAAAUAUAUAAUAGAACUUAUCCGAUAGAGAUUUUAUUUCUUUCAAAUUAAAUUUAAAAUCUAACCUCUCGUUUACCGUUCCGACAUUGUCACAACGCGAAGCCGAAAAAAAUAGAUACGAGGAUUAGUACCACGUGGUACCACGAUUAAUAGGUUCGUGAUAUCUACGAAUAUUUCAGAUACUCGGAAGCAUAUAUAUUGAGGCAGAGCAAUAGUUUAUCGCCCUAACCAAUUCCAAAUAGCGUUACAGGGACUUAUUUGUCUCUUUAAGCUCUCAGAUACAUAUGUAUGCCUAGACAUAAUUAAAUCGUUGGCUAAUUAUUUAAUCGUAGAGUGAUGGUGGUAUUAUCGGUUCUAUUAUCAGUAAGCACUGUUCGUAAAUCAUAAAAUAAUUAGGUAUUAAUAGACAAAGACUAAGAGUUUUUUCGUUCCUUUUGUCAAACGAUUUUUUUUUUUUUUUUGGCAGCCAUUAUCGGCCACAGGGCUGCCAAUUAAAAAAAUUGAAGAUAGUCGGUUUUUUUCGAAAUAUCAUUAAACAAAACAAAAGAGAAAAUCUGAGUCUCAUAUUAAAGAAUAUAAGCUCUGGUUGUCAGUGGUUAUGGUCGAUUAUGUAUUCUAUGGGCCGAUAAGAAGAAGAUGCAUUGUUUAACACUCGUCCUUAACAGAAUAACAAAAAAAAAACGAAAUUAAUUGUUAAUUCUGUUUGCUGUUGAACUGUAUUUUAUUGUUGUUGUUUUUAAACUAUUCUUUCAACAAAAUACAGAUAACGAAAGAACACAA